Molecule: ribosomal RNA, 497 nt
Filed under: uncultured bacterium
Lineage: Bacteria
Description: partial 16S ribosomal RNA
Rfam family: Bacterial small subunit ribosomal RNA
Source: RNAcentral
GACGAACGCUGGCGGCGUGCCUAAUACAUGCAAGUUGAGCGCUGAAGGUUGGUACUUGUACCAACUGGAUGAGCAGCGAACGGGUGAGUAACGCGUGGGGAAUCUGCCUUUGAGCGGGGGACAACAUUUGGAAACGAAUGCUAAUACCGCAUAAAAACUUUAAACACAAGUUUUAAGUUUGAAAGAUGCAAUUGCAUCACUCAAAGAUGAUCCCGCGUUGUAUUAGCUAGUUGGUGAGGUAAAGGCUCACCAAGGCGAUGAUACAUAGCCGACCUGAGAGGGUGGUCGGCCAACUCUGGACUGAGACAAGGCCCAAAACCCUAAGGGGGGCAGCAGUAGGGAAACUUCGGCAAUUGACGGAAGUCUGACCGAGAAACGCCGCGGGAGGGAAGAAGGGUUUCGGAUCGUAAAACUCUGUUGGUAGAGAAGAACGUUGGUGAGAGUGGAAAGCUCAUCAAGUGACGGUAACUACACAGAAAGGGACGGCUAACUACGUG